This 496-nucleotide ribosomal RNA is filed under the name uncultured bacterium. Its description in RNAcentral is "partial 16S ribosomal RNA". It matches the Rfam family "Bacterial small subunit ribosomal RNA", at positions 29 to 507 of the family's 1533-position model. The record is from RNAcentral.
AUGAACGCUGGCGGCGUGCCUCAUACCUGCAAGUCGAGCGAACGGACGAGAAGCUUGCUUCUCUGAUGUUAGCGGCGGACGGGUGAGUAACCCGUGGAUAACCUACCUAUAAGACUGGGAUAACUUCGGGAAACCGGAGCUAAUACCGGAUAAUAUUUUGAACCGCAUGGUUCAAAAGUGAAAGACGGUCUUGCUGUCACUUAUAGAUGGAUCCGCGCUGCAUUAGCUAGUUGGUAAGGUAACGGCUUACCAAGGCAACGAUGCAUAGCCGACCUGAGAGGGUGAUCGGCCACACUGGAACUGAGACACGGUCCAGACUCCUACGGGAGGCAGCAGUAGGGAAUCUUCCGCAAUGGGCGAAAGCCUGACGGAGCAACGCCGCGUGAGUGAUGAAGGUCUUCGGAUCGUAAAACUCUGUUAUUAGGGAAGAACAUAUGUGUAAGUAACUGUGCACAUCUUGACGGUACCUAAUCAGAAAGCCACGGCUAACUACGUG